Molecule: long non-coding RNA, 1331 nt
Filed under: Gadus morhua (Atlantic cod)
Lineage: Eukaryota; Metazoa; Chordata; Actinopteri; Gadiformes; Gadidae
Description: lncRNA (ENSGMOG00000028253.1)
Source: RNAcentral
CGUGAAACGCCACUUCUAUGUGGACGACGGCCUUCGUUCUGCGUCGACCGAUGCCGAAGCCAUCAGCUUGUUGAGCAGAACACAGAUGUCACUAGCCGAGUCAAACCUCAGGCUCCACAAGUUUGCCUCCAACAGCCAGACAGUCCUGGAAGCCUUUCCAUCUGAAGACUGUGCUGCAGUUACAAAGGAUGUGGACUUAAGCGGAGAGGCUGCGUCCACUCAACGCAGUCUGGGUCUCCUGUGGGAGAUGGCAAGUGACACAUUCACUUUCUCUGUUGCAAACACAAUCAAGCCGUUCACUCGCCGUGGUGUCCUCUCCACGGUGAACAGUGUUUUUGACCCCUUGGGUUUUCUGGCCCCAGUCACAAUCCAAGGAAGGCUCCUCCUUCGGGAACUCACCGCUGAGCAGUCCGGGUGGGAUGUACCACUGCCUGAAGACAAAUUCAGCAAGUGGAAAGCUUGGCAAGAAUCACUUCAGGAGCUGAGACACCUUCAUGUACCACGGACAUACACAUCAGCUUCACUAGAAACGGCAGUGCGUACAGAGCUCUGUGUGUUUUCUGAUGCAUCUAUCAAAGCCAUCGGUGCUGUGGCGUAUUUGAAGGCCGUACAAGGAGAUGGACAAACUCACAUUGGGUUUGUCAUGGCCAAAUCAAAACUUGCACCUCAGUCUGAACCAACUAUUCCAAGGCUCGAACUCUGUGCGGCAGUCUUAGCAGUGGAAAUGGCAGACUUAAUCCAUGAUGAAUUGGAUUUGAAGCUGGAUUCCACAAAGUUCUAUACUGACAGCAAGGUGGUCCUCGGCUAUAUCCGUAAUGAAUCCAGACGAUUCUAUGUCUACGUCCAUAAUAGAGUUCAGCGCAUUCGCCAAACCACAAAACCUGAGCAAUGGCACUAUGUGCGCACAGAGGUUAAUCCUGCAGACCAUGCAUCAAGGUCUAUUCCUGCCUCACUCUUGGCACAGACUGCAUGGUUACAAGGCCCUGACUUCUUGCUCGACUCUCCCAACAAACCAGAUCCAGUUCAGUCCUUCGACCUGAUCAAACCAGAAUUGGACGUGGAUAUCCGUCCCCAAGUGAGGAGCUAUGCCACAAAGCUGCAAGAGAAAAGCCUCAGCACAGAACGCUUCCUAAGGUUCUCCAGCUUCAACUCUCUUGUCCGAGCUAUAGCACACUUAAUUCACAUUGUGAGGUCCUUUAAGCUCACUAAAGACAUGGACAAGUGUCAAGGGUGGCACAGGUGUGAUCUGUCUCGAACCCCAGAUGAACUAUCCCUAGCAAAGGAAGUCAUUAUUUCAGCUGUUCAGAGGAGAGCAUUUUCAAAGGAAUUUG